AUUGAACGCUGGCGGCAUGCUUUACACAUGCAAGUCGAACGGCAGCGCGGGCUUCGGCCUGGCGGCGAGUGGCGAACGGGUGAGUAAUGCAUCGAAACGUGCCCAGUAGUGGGGGAUAGCCCGGCGAAAGCCGGAUUAAUACCGCAUACGACCUGAGGGUGAAAGCGGGGGACCGAAAGGCCUCGCGCUAUUGGAGCGGCCGAUGGCGGAUUAGCUAGUUGGUGGGGUAAAGGCUUACCAAGGCGACGAUCCGUAGCUGGUCUGAGAGGACGACCAGCCACACUGGGACUGAGACACGGCCCAGACUCCUACGGGAGGCAGCAGUGGGGAAUUUUGGACAAUGGGGGCAACCCUGAUCCAGCCAUGCCGCGUGCGGGAAGAAGGCCUUCGGGUUGUAAACCGCUUUUGUUCGGGAAGAAAUCCUCUGGGCUAAUACCCCGGGGGGAUGACGGUACCGGAAGAAUAAGCACCGGCUAACUACGUG
RNAcentral lists this ribosomal RNA (484 nucleotides) under uncultured bacterium. Its description in RNAcentral is "partial 16S ribosomal RNA". It matches the Rfam family "Bacterial small subunit ribosomal RNA", at positions 29 to 507 of the family's 1533-position model. The record is from RNAcentral.